CCUUUUGUAUAAUGGGUCAGCGACUUAUAUUCUGUAGCAAGGUUAACCGAAUAGGGGAGCCGAAGGGAAACCGAGUCUUAACUGGGCGUUAAGUUGCAGGGUAUAGACCCGAAACCCGGUGAUCUAGCCAUGGGCAGGUUGAAGGUUGGGUAACACUAACUGGAGGACCGAACCGACUAAUGUUGAAAAAUUAGCGGAUGACUUGUGGCUGGGGGUGAAAGGCCAAUCAAACCGGGAGAUAGCUGGUUCUCCCCGAAAGCUAUUUAGGUAGCGCCUCGUGAACUCAUCUCCGGGGGUAGAGCACUGUUUCGGCAAGGGGGUCAUCCCGACUUACCAACCCGAUGCAAACUGCGAAUACCGGAGAAUGUUAUCACGGGAGACACACGGCGGGUGCUAACGUCCGUCGUGAAGAGGGAAACAACCCAGACCGCCAGCUAAGGUCCCAAAGUCAUGGUUAAGUGGGAAACGAUGUGGGAAGGCCCAGACAGCCAGGAUGUUGGCUUAGAAGCAGCCAUCAUUUAAAGAAAGCGUAAUAGCUCACUGGUCGAGUCGGCCUGCGCGGAAGAUGUAACGGGGCUAAACCAUGCACCGAAGCUGCGGCAGCGACGCUUAUGCGUUGUUGGGUAGGGGAGCGUUCUGUAAGCCUGUGAAGGUGUGCUGUGAGG
This 665-nucleotide ribosomal RNA is filed under the name Escherichia coli. RNAcentral describes it as "partial 23S ribosomal RNA". It matches the Rfam family "Bacterial large subunit ribosomal RNA", at positions 604 to 1268 of the family's 2925-position model. Lineage: Bacteria; Pseudomonadati; Pseudomonadota; Gammaproteobacteria; Enterobacterales; Enterobacteriaceae. The record is from RNAcentral.